This 468-nucleotide ribosomal RNA is filed under the name uncultured bacterium. RNAcentral's name for it is "partial 16S ribosomal RNA". It matches the Rfam family "Bacterial small subunit ribosomal RNA", at positions 28 to 507 of the family's 1533-position model. The record is from RNAcentral.
GACGAACGCUGGCGGCGUGCUUAACACAUGCAAGUCGAACGGAAAGGCCCUGCUUUUGUGGGGUGCUCGAGUGGCGAACGGGUGAGUAACACGUGAGUAACCUGCCCUUGACUUUGGGAUAACUUCAGGAAACUGGGGCUAAUACCGGAUAGGAUCUCCUGCUGCAUGGUGGGGGUUGGAAAGUUUCGGCGGUUGGGGAUGGACUCGCGGCUUAUCAGCUUGUUGGUGGGGUAGUGGCUUACCAAGGCUUUGACGGGUAGCCGGCCUGAGAGGGUGACCGGCCACAAUGGGACUGAGAUACGGCCCAGACUCCUACGGGAGGCAGCAGUGGGGAGUAUUGCACAAUGGGCGGAAGCCUGAUGCAGCAACGCCGCGUGCGGGAUGACGGCCUUCGGGUUGUAAACCGCUUUCGCCUGUGACGAAGCGUGAGUGACGGUAAUGGGUAAAGAAGCACCGGCUAACUACGUG